CAUAGGUUAAUGAGGCGAACCGGGGGAACUGAAACAUCUAAGUACCCCGAGGAAAAGAAAUCAACCGAGAUUCCCCCAGUAGCGGCGAGCGAACGGGGAGCAGCCCAGAGCCUGAAUCAGUGUGUGUGUUAGUGGAAGCGUCUGGAAAGGCGCGCGAUACAGGGUGACAGCCCCGUACACAAAAAUGCACAUAUUGUGAGCUCGAUGAGUAGGGCGGGACACGUGGUAUCCUGUCUGAAUAUGGGGGGACCAUCCUCCAAGGCUAAAUACUCCUGACUGACCGAUAGUGAACCAGUACCGUGAGGGAAAGGCGAAAAGAACCCCGGCGAGGGGAGUGAAAAAGAACCUGAAACCGUGUACGUACAAGCAGUGGGAGCACGCUUAGGCGUGUGACUGCGUACCUUUUGUAUAAUGGGUCAGCGACUUAUAUUCUGUAGCAAGGUUAACCGAAUAGGGGAGCCGAAGGGAAACCGAGUCUUAACUGGGCGUUAAGUUGCAGGGUAUAGACCCGAAACCCGGUGAUCUAGCCAUGGGCAGGUUGAAGGUUGGGUAACACUAACUGGAGGACCGAACCGACUAAUGUUGAAAAAUUAGCGGAUGACUUGUGGCUGGGGGUGAAAGGCCAAUCAAACCGGGAGAUAGCUGGUUCUCCCCGAAAGCUAUUUAGGUAGCGCCUCGUGAAUUCAUCUCCGGGGGUAGAGCACUGUUUCGGCAAGGGGGUCAUCCCGACUUACCAACCCGAUGCAAACUGCGAAUACCGGAGAAUGUUAUCACGGGAGACACACGGCGGGUGCUAACGUCCGUCGUGAAGAGGGAAACAACCCAGACCGCCAGCUAAGGUCCCAAAGUCAUGGUUAAGUGGGAAACGAUGUGGGAAGGCCCAGACAGCCAGGAUGUUGGCUUAGAAGCAGCCAUCAUUUAAAGAAAGCGUAAUAGCUCACUGGUCGAGUCGGCCUGCGCGGAAGAUGUAACGGGGCUAAACCAUGCACCGAAGCUGCGGCAGCGACGCUUAUGCGUUGUUGGGUAGGGGAGCGUUCUGUAAGCCUGUGAAGGUGUGCUGUGAGGCAUGCUGGAGGUAUCAGAAGUGCGAAUGCUGACAUAAGUAACGAUAAAGCGGGUGAAAAGCCCGCUCGCCGGAAGACCAAGGGUUCCUGUCCAACGUUAAUCGGGGCAGGGUGAGUCGACCCCUAAGGCGAGGCCGAAAGGCGUAGUCGAUGGGAAACAGGUUAAUAUUCCUGUACUUGGUGUUACUGCGAAGGGGGGACGGAGAAGGCUAUGUUGGCCGGGCGACGGUUGUCCCGGUUUAAGCGUGUAGGCUGGUUUUCCAGGCAAAUCCGGAAAAUCAAGGCUGAGGCGUGAUGACGAGGCACUACGGUGCUGAAGCAACAAAUGCCCUGCUUCCAGGAAAAGCCUCUAAGCAUCAGGUAACAUCAAAUCGUACCCCAAACCGACACAGGUGGUCAGGUAGAGAAUACCAAGGCGCUUGAGAGAACUCGGGUGAAGGAACUAGGCAAAAUGGUGCCGUAACUUCGGGAGAAGGCACGCUGAUAUGUAGGUGAAGCGACUUGCUCGUGGAGCUGAAAUCAGUCGAAGAUACCAGCUGGCUGCAACUGUUUAUUAAAAACACAGCACUGUGCAAACACGAAAGUGGACGUAUACGGUGUGACGCCUGCCCGGUGCCGGAAGGUUAAUUGAUGGGGUCAGCGCAAGCGAAGCUCUUGAUCGAAGCCCCGGUAAACGGCGGCCGUAACUAUAACGGUCCUAAGGUAGCGAAAUUCCUUGUCGGGUAAGUUCCGACCUGCACGAAUGGCGUAAUGAUGGCCAGGCUGUCUCCACCCGAGACUCAGUGAAAUUGAACUCGCUGUGAAGAUGCAGUGUACCCGCGGCAAGACGGAAAGACCCCGUGAACCUUUACUAUAGCUUGACACUGAACAUUGAGCCUUGAUGUGUAGGAUAGGUGGGAGGCUUAGAAGUGUGGACGCCAGUCUGCAUGGAGCCGACCUUGAAAUACCACCCUUUAAUGUUUGAUGUUCUAACGUUGACCCGUAAUCCGGGUUGCGGACAGUGUCUGGUGGGUAGUUUGACUGGGGCGGUCUCCUCCUAAAGAGUAACGGAGGAGCACGAAGGUUGGCUAAUCCUGGUCGGACAUCAGGAGGUUAGUGCAAUGGCAUAAGCCAGCUUGACUGCGAGCGUGACGGCGCGAGCAGGUGCGAAAGCAGGUCAUAGUGAUCCGGUGGUUCUGAAUGGAAGGGCCAUCGCUCAACGGAUAAAAGGUACUCCGGGGAUAACAGGCUGAUACCGCCCAAGAGUUCAUAUCGACGGCGGUGUUUGGCACCUCGAUGUCGGCUCAUCACAUCCUGGGGCUGAAGUAGGUCCCAAGGGUAUGGCUGUUCGCCAUUUAAAGUGGUACGCGAGCUGGGUUUAGAACGUCGUGAGACAGUUCGGUCCCUAUCUGCCGUGGGCGCUGGAGAACUGAGGGGGGCUGCUCCUAGUACGAGAGGACCGGAGUGGACGCAUCACUGGUGUUCGGGUUGUCAUGCCAAUGGCACUGCCCGGUAGCUAAAUGCGGAAGAGAUAAGUGCUGAAAGCAUCUAAGCACGAAACUUGCC
This 2609-nucleotide ribosomal RNA is filed under the name Escherichia coli. RNAcentral describes it as "partial 23S ribosomal RNA". It matches the Rfam family "Bacterial large subunit ribosomal RNA". The record is from RNAcentral. Lineage: Bacteria; Pseudomonadati; Pseudomonadota; Gammaproteobacteria; Enterobacterales; Enterobacteriaceae.